CUUAAGUCGAAGUAAUAUUCUAAACAUGACCUUUCUCCUGAUUUCAAAACACCUAAAAAUAGACCUUCAUCCAAGCCCAAACAGAGUAUCACAGCUGACCUCUCUUCUGUUGUCAAAAUGCCAAGUAAUAAAAUACAUCAUUAACUGAUAAGAUCAGUUGUCAGUAUUGUCAGGCAUGUUUUACCAACAGAAGUAAUUGCUAUCGCAAUGAAAGCGUUUGUAGUGGUAACUCAAAAUCCAGUCCACAGUAUUGGUGCCCUAGUUGUUCAACUAUUUCCAAUCGAAUGGGCAAUUUAAAAUCUCACUCAAAGAAAUGCAGUGGGAAUGAGACUGCAAAA
This is a long non-coding RNA of Frankliniella occidentalis (western flower thrips), 338 nucleotides long. RefSeq lists it as uncharacterized. The record is from RefSeq and is a predicted model, not a curated record. NCBI's taxonomy places the organism in Eukaryota, Metazoa, Arthropoda, Insecta, Thysanoptera, Thripidae. The transcript is spliced from 3 exons.